Oncorhynchus mykiss (rainbow trout) is the source of this 1953-nucleotide non-coding RNA. Lineage: Eukaryota; Metazoa; Chordata; Actinopteri; Salmoniformes; Salmonidae. The record is from RefSeq and is a predicted model, not a curated record.
UCUGUUCUGUUCUCUUCUGUUCUGUUGUGUUCUGUUCUGUUCUCUUCUCUUCUGUUCUGUUGUUCUGUUCAGGCUUACGUAUAAGUACAAGGGGUUGUUUAGUAGUCUGAAAAAGACAUUCAAGUGUAGUUUACUUUUCUCUUAACUGGCUCCUCUUUAAAGGGAGUGUUUAUCUCUCUUUACCACUGUGAGGGUUUGUGUUGUUUCCCAAAGCAAUAUUCUAGGUUUUACUCCCACCUUUAAGACUCACCAUGUUUUCCAUACCCACACUGUUUUCACAGCUUCAUAGCAUGAGCAAAGAUGAGUCACAUCCUGUCAACAGAAAGUUGAAACCCUGGCCACAUGGUAGAGGAGAUGGACUGUCUAGUUGAAACUCUGUCACAUGGUAGAGGAGAUGGACUGUCUAGUUGAAACCCUGUCACAUGGUAGAGGAGGUGGACUGUCUAGUUGAAACCCUGUCACAUGGUAGAGGAGGUGGACUGUCUAGUUGAAACCCUGUCACAUGGUAGAGGAGGUGGACUGUCUAGUUGAAACCCUGUCACAUGGUAGAGGAGGUGGACUGUCUAGUUGAAACCCUGUCACAUGGUAGAGGAGAUGGACUGUCUAGUUGAAACCCUGUCACAUGGUAGAGGAGAUGGACUGUCUAGUUGAAACCCUGUCACAUGGUAGAGGAGGUGGACUGUCUAGUUGAAACCCUGUCACAUGGUAGAGGAGGUGGACUGUCUAGUUGAAACCCUGUCACAUGGUAGAGGAGGUGGACUGUCUAGUUGAAACCCUGUCACAUGGUAGAGGAGAUGGACUGUCUAGUUGAAACCCUGUCACAUGGUAGAGGAGGUGGACAGUCUAGUUGACACCCUGUCACAUGGUAGAGGAGGUGGACAGUCUAGUUGAAACCCUGUCACAUGGUAGAGGAGAUGGACUGUCUAGUUGACACCCUGUCACAUGGUAGAGGAGGUGGACUGUCUAGUUGAAACCCUGUCACAUGGUAGAGGAGGUGGACUGUCUAGUUGAUCUAGUUGAUACCCUGUCACAUGGUAGAGGAGAUGGACUGUCUAGUUGAUCUAGUUGAUACCCUGUCACAUGGUAGAGGAGGUAAACUGUCUAGUUGAUCUAGUUGAAACCCUGUCACAUGGUAGAGGAGGUGGACUGUCUAGUUGAAACCCUGUCACAUGGUAGAGGAGGUGGACUGUCUAGUUGAAACCCUGUCACAUGGUAGAGGAGAUGGACUGUCUAGUUGAAACCCUGUCACCUGGUAGAGGAGGUGGACUGUCUAGUUGAAACCCUGUCACCUGGUAGAGGAGGUGGACUGUCUAGUUGAAACCCUGUCACCUGGUAGAGGAGGUGGACUGUCUAGUUGAAACCCUGGCCACAUGGUAGAGGAGGUGGACUGUCUAGUUGAAACCCUGUCACCUGGUAGAGGAGAUGGACUGUCUAGUUGAAACCCUGUCACAUGGUGGAGGAGAUGGACUGUCUAGUUGAAACCCUGUCACAUGGUAGAGGAGAUGGACUGUCUAGUUGAAACCCUGUCACAUGGUAGAGGAGGUGGACUGUCUAGUUGAAACCCUGUCACAUGGUAGAGGAGGUGGACUGUAUGUUGAAUGAUGAAAUAAGAGGCUCUGCGACGGCAGGAGUGGAACUCUUCUGUUUGCCUUGGCCGUGUCAGCUGCUGUGUGUGAGUCACAGUUUUAUAAUGUUAGUAGAAUCCUCUGCUGUUUGUGUUUCUUCACCUUCAUCCAGUCACUCACCACCUUGAUAUCCAGCCAGGGUUUUCACUCUCUCUCCUGUUCUCCAAGUCCAUCAGCCUUUUCAACUCUCCCACUUUACCUUAGUUAGAAGAGUUCUGGGCUGUUUCCCUUGAAUAAGAUGGUUUACAAUCAAUUUGUUAACUGUUAAAUUGGAUGUUCACAGAUGUGAUUUAAAGGAUGACACUUGUUAACACUUCCGUUGUGUAAA